This 253-nucleotide ribosomal RNA is filed under the name uncultured bacterium. RNAcentral describes it as "partial 16S ribosomal RNA". It matches the Rfam family "Bacterial small subunit ribosomal RNA", at positions 524 to 776 of the family's 1533-position model. The record is from RNAcentral.
UACGAAGGGUGCAAGCGUUGCUCGGAAUUACUGGGCGUAAAGCGUGCGUAGGUGGUCUGUUAAGUCUGAUGUGAAAGCCCUGGGCUCAACCUGGGAAUGGCAUUGGAAACUGGCGGGCUAGAGUGCGGUAGAGGGUAGUGGAAUUCCCGGUGUAGCAGUGAAAUGCGUAGAGAUCGGGAGGAACAUUCGUGGCGAAGGCGGCUACCUGGACCAGCACUGACACUGAGGCACGAAAGCGUGGGGAGCAAACAGG